Molecule: ribosomal RNA, 721 nt
Filed under: uncultured Staphylococcus sp.
Lineage: Bacteria; Bacillati; Bacillota; Bacilli; Caryophanales; Staphylococcaceae
Description: bacterial SSU rRNA
Rfam family: Bacterial small subunit ribosomal RNA
Source: RNAcentral
CAUGCAAGUCGAGCGAACGGACGAGAAGCUUGCUUCUCUGAUGUUAGCGGCGGACGGGUGAGUAACACGUGGAUAACCUACCUAUAAGACUGGGAUAACUUCGGGAAACCGGAGCUAAUACCGGAUGAUAUUUUGAACCGCAUGGUUCAAAAGUGAAAGACGGUCUUGCUGUCACUUAUAGAUGGAUCCGCGCUGCAUUAGCUAGUUGGUAAGGUAACGGCUUACCAAGGCAACGAUGCAUAGCCGACCUGAGAGGGUGAUCGGCCACACUGGAACUGAGACACGGUCCAGACUCCUACGGGAGGCAGCAGUAGGGAAUCUUCCGCAAUGGGCGAAAGCCUGACGGAGCAACGCCGCGUGAGUGAUGAAGGUCUUCGGAUCGUAAAACUCUGUUAUUAGGGAAGAACAUAUGUGUAAGUAACUGUGCACAUCUUGACGGUACCUAAUCAGAAAGCCACGGCUAACUACGUGCCAGCAGCCGCGGUAAUACGUAGGUGGCAAGCGUUAUCCGGAAUUAUUGGGCGUAAAGCGCGCGUAGGCGGUUUUUUAAGUCUGAUGUGAAAGCCCACGGCUCAACCGUGGAGGGUCAUUGGAAACUGGAAAACUUGAGUGCAGAAGAGGAGAGUGGAAUUCCAUGUGUAGCGGUGAAAUGCGCAGAGAUAUGGAGGAACACCAGUGGCGAAGGCGACUUUCUGGUCUGUAACUGACGCUGAUGUGCGAA